RNAcentral lists this long non-coding RNA (208 nucleotides) under Vigna radiata. RNAcentral's name for it is "long non-coding RNA (VRAD_LNC008694)". Lineage: Eukaryota; Viridiplantae; Streptophyta; Magnoliopsida; Fabales; Fabaceae. The record is from RNAcentral.
UUAUGUUUAGGGUCAAUUCUACUUAUGGUUGAGAGUGCAGCAAGAGUGACUUUUAGGAUGUACCUGAGUAUGUCAUUGAUGAGUAUGAGAGAGAAGGAUAAGUGUAUUUAUUGUACCUCGUAAAUCUUGGUUCUAUCUAUGGAUAGGUUCUUCCUUUUGCCUUGUGUGCAUUGGAAGGAAAUGAUCUGUAGGGGAGGCUACAGCUGGA